AGCUCCAGGCCGGUUCUAAACUCCAAUGAAUUCAAUUAACUUGAUUGCUAACGUGUGCUGAGAUGCAGGGCGCACAGGCUGGCCACCACCUGAGUCCCUCCUUUCUCCAGCGGUGGAGCCGGGAGACCACGCUUUGUGGACAUCCCUGAUUCCCGCACUAGUUACUAGGAUCCCCCCUCUUUGCGAUCACACUCCCCGUAGAGUGUUCCGCUGAGCUCUGGACCCCUCUUGCAAACUCGAUUAAGCCUUGAAAGGCUGGAUUCUUGCUCCUUAUCACCUAUCUAGAACAAUAAUGACCAAGUCAAAACAGAAAAGUCCAAUCAACCGGGAGCGUUGAUUUUCAACACGUCGCGCGCAGGGUGUGGUGUGGCGGGGGUUGAGGGGAUGUGAUUAGAGGUCAAACAAGUAUUUUGCAAUAUCAAGUAAUCAACCAAAACCAGUCCUCCGGGGCCGGCCGACCUGCAAAGUACUACCCGUUUCCGUUCCCCACCCCCACCCCUACCCCCAUCCCACCCAGACAGGCGGUUGCACCUCAGGCCAGCAUUUCCUUGGGCUAAAGACUUCAGGUCGCUCAGGGAGAAGCAGUAUCAGUUUUCCCCCCCUACAAACCCUCAGGGCUUCGUUCAGCCUUUGAACCCUGCGUUGAGUGAUUCCACUCUUCAAGAACUGGCUUAAAUUUUAGAGCAUAAUUUCAUCUCACUUAAUCAGAUCCUUGCUUCUGGAGUUUUUAGUUUUAGGGUAGUUUUUAAAUGCUAAACCACAAUUUAAAAGAUAGACUAAAUUUAACCUAGGUGCUCUUGCCUAUCACGCGGAUUACGCAAAUCUAGGGGUGGAGUGGAAAUUGUGGAGGUAGAGUGUUCAGCUGUGGGACCCCACGGAGACCCUUAACCUCAGCUCUAAACUUUCAUGAAUGUGAUAUGUAAUGCAGGAUUGCGGGCCAUUCCUCAGUUGUAUUUAACUCUUCCUCUGCUAUUAGUCCAAACAGUGAGAACUUUUGGUAAAACUGGGUCUCUUUAUUAA
Long non-coding RNA from Phyllostomus discolor (pale spear-nosed bat), 1020 nucleotides. RefSeq lists it as uncharacterized. Lineage: Eukaryota; Metazoa; Chordata; Mammalia; Chiroptera; Phyllostomidae. The transcript has 2 exons. The record is from RefSeq and is a predicted model, not a curated record.